RNAcentral lists this ribosomal RNA (440 nucleotides) under uncultured Caulobacter sp. RNAcentral describes it as "bacterial SSU rRNA". It matches the Rfam family "Bacterial small subunit ribosomal RNA", at positions 338 to 795 of the family's 1533-position model. The record is from RNAcentral. Lineage: Bacteria; Pseudomonadati; Pseudomonadota; Alphaproteobacteria; Caulobacterales; Caulobacteraceae.
CCUACGGGAGGCUGCAGUGGGGAAUCUUGCGCAAUGGGCGAAAGCCUGACGCAGCCAUGCCGCGUGAAUGAUGAAGGUCUUAGGAUUGUAAAAUUCUUUCACCGGGGACGAUAAUGACGGUACCCGGAGAAGAAGCCCCGGCUAACUUCGUGCCAGCAGCCGCGGUAAUACGAAGGGGGCUAGCGUUGCUCGGAAUUACUGGGCGUAAAGGGAGCGUAGGCGGACUGUUAAGUUAGAGGUGAAAGCCCAGGGCUCAACCUUGGAAUUGCCUUUGAUACUGGCAGUCUUGAGUACGGAAGAGGUAUGUGGAACUCCGAGUGUAGAGGUGAAAUUCGUAGAUAUUCGGAAGAACACCAGUGGCGAAGGCGACAUACUGGUCCGUUACUGACGCUGAGGCUCGAAAGCGUGGGGAGCAAACAGGAUUAGAUACCCGAGUAGUC